This 30-nucleotide non-coding RNA is filed under the name Cricetulus griseus (Chinese hamster). Lineage: Eukaryota; Metazoa; Chordata; Mammalia; Rodentia; Cricetidae. The record is from RNAcentral.
GUAAGUAAACUGGUAGAAAUUAGUAAGACA